Long non-coding RNA from Pelmatolapia mariae (spotted tilapia), 2350 nucleotides. RefSeq lists it as uncharacterized. NCBI's taxonomy places the organism in Eukaryota, Metazoa, Chordata, Actinopteri, Cichliformes, Cichlidae. The record is from RefSeq and is a predicted model, not a curated record. The transcript has 9 exons.
AAAUGAUCCAUCAAUAAAGGAUAAUGUUGGAUCAGUGUUUCAAUAUUUUAUAUCUUUUAUUAGAUGUUCAUGUGGUUUGGUUAUUUGCCUUUUGGUUGAAAGUACACUGAGAGAGGACUUUUCGUUAGUGAUCUUAAUAAUUUUUUUUUUCACAUGAAUGUAAUUUUUUCAUCUAAUUGAAUACAAUCUAUUUGUGUAUGAUUGUCAGUCCAAAGAGGGAGAGAGGAAAGAGGGGAACGUGAGGAGAAAGUACAAGGUCAGGAAGAACCAGAUCACCAUUGUGAUGAACCAGAAUGAACCCCUCAGUUUCUUGCACCGUCACAAUGAGGCUUUUUCCACCGAGCCUCUGAAAAACACUGGCAAAGGAGCUCCUCUGGGCUUUUACCACGUCCAGAAUAUUUCUGUCGAAGUUACAGAGUCUUUUAUUGAGAACAUCAAGAGCAAGCCCGUCGUGUUUGAAGUGUUCAGCCACUACCAGCAGCACCCGCUGCACCUCCAUGGCCAGGACGUGAACAGCAUCCAGGAAAUACUAUCCUAUUCCCAUCCGUUGCUUAGAAACUGUCCUGAGGAGACAGCUUCAGGAUCAAUGACAUGUCAUUCACACCAAUGAAGACUUCCAGCCACCAAGUUGAACACCAUCACCAAAUCCAACCUGGGUCAGUGUGUCAGCAAGUACGACCUGCUGGUCUGGUUUGAGAUCAGCGAGUUGGAGCCCACUGGAGAGUGCAUCCCAGCCAUCGUGGAUCACAGUGGAGGCCUGCCCUGCCAUGGUACCUACCUGCUGCACCAGAUCUGUUGUGUCCAAGAAGGGUUUUCUAAGCUUCGUGGAGCCUCGCUCUAACUCAUAGGUGAAGCAUUUUGUGGUUGUUCGCCGGCCCUACGUCUUCAUCUACAACAGCGACAAGGACCCCGUGGAGCGAGGCGCCGUCAACCUCUCCACAGCACAGGUGGAAUACAGCAAAGACCAGCACGCCAUGCUUAAGAUGCCCAACACAUUUGCAGUGUACACAAAACAUCGAGGCAUCCUCCUGCAGGCCAACAACGAGAAAGACAUGAACGAAUGGCUGUACGCUUUUAGUCCUCUGCUAGCAGGAAGGAUAAGAUCUAAGCUGGCGAGGCGGCGCAGCGGCCUGACGAAGAACUGAGCGGGCGGAGCGGUUCCACUGUCGUCCACGUCAUACGUAGAUCCUCCUCAAUCUGUGUACAUACGCCGCCUCUAAACCCCCAAUAGUGCCAGUGUCAGUUAGUGAGUCAGUAAAAUACUCAUGCAUUUGUGUUAACAUUAAAACUGCAGACUAACUAGAGACAAACAAGCGAGGAUCGCUUCAUAUCUCAGCAGUUUAAAAAAACAAACAAUGACCAAUUGUUCCUGCAGGAGUAGAUUUGGGCCCCUUUUUGCUUUUUCAUCCCAAGGAAUAAAAACAAGGUUACAAGGAGAGGAGGAGGAGGAGGACUAGGAGGAUGAAAACGAACUAAGGAGAAAACUUGAUUUGUACAUCGGGUGUGUUCUGGGAUCAGUGUGUUAGUUAACCCUCAUUUAACACAUUCCUCUCUGCUCCUCUAGCUUGCUCUAUCUCACUGAGAAUCAGAAGCCUUGACAUUUACUGCUAUUAACUUUACACUCUUGUUGUCAAGACGCAAAGAAAACACAGUGAAAAGGUUAGAAGGACGUAAGGAAAAAAGAAUGAAGGUGCAAUGUUUCUUUAGUUUUUUUGCUUUGACGGCAGUGGUUAGCCAGCAAAGCUGCUUUUAAAUGGCCCGCAGGACAGAUUACGAUGUAGUCCCAUGACUCCCCUCGCUGUCACACCAGCGUCGGCUGAAAUCUCUGAAGUGAAGUACUCGUGUUCAGCUGUCUGUUACAUAUAGAUAAAAAAUAAAGCUCUGACGUGACCUCGGGUCAGCCAGCCUGACAGUCAGAGAAACAGAAACGUGCUGGAUUGUGGAUCUCUGAGCUGCACAUCAAAGAUGCACCUAUGCACAGAUCAAGUCUCAAAAGUGCAAUGUACCUCAUAUACAUGUUGAUGCGAAGCGCUGCCAGAGCAAACGUUUCCACUUCAUUUGCAGAGGUGUUUUUAUUUUGGAUUGUGUAUUUAUUGUUUGCAAUGUAUAUGUAUUUGUUUGCAGCUCUUUGCACAUAUUAAUAAAAGGUUGAACUAACUGAUCAGAUAAAGUCUGUGCGGUUUAGUUGUUCCACUCAUAUUAAACCAAAUGAAAGGAAAAGGAGACCUAACAUGUAACCCCUGCACCUCCACUGAGGAGGUGAGUUACAUUAGUGCUUCCUCUUUAUUAGAAAGUGGUUUGAGUGAAUUAGAAGUCUGUUGUUUUUUUGGAGGAGAUCUACUCAUUAGUC